AGUGAACGCUGGCGGUAGGCCUAACACAUGCCAGUCGAACGGCAGCACAGUAAGAGCUUGCUCUUACGGGUGGCGAGUGGCGGACGGGUGAGGAAUACAUCGGAAUCUACUUUUUCGUGGGGGAUAACGUAGGGAAACUUACGCUAAUACCGCAUACGACCUACGGGUGAAAGCAGGGGAUCUUCGGACCUUGCGCGAUUGAAUGAUCCGAUGUCGGAUUAGCUAGUUGGCGGGGUAAAGGCCCACCAAGGCGACGAUCCGUAGCUGGUCUGAGAGGAUGAUCAGCCACACUGGUACUGAGACACGGUCCAGACUCCUACGGGAGGCAGCAGUGGGGAAUAUUGGACAAUGGGCGCAAGCCUGAUCCAGCCAUACCGCGUGGGUGAAGAAGGCCUUCGGGUUGUAAAGCCCUUUUGUUGGGAAAGAAAAGCAGCAGGUUAAUACCCCGCUGUUCUGACGGUACCCAAAGAAUAAGCACCGGCUAACUUCGUG
RNAcentral lists this ribosomal RNA (492 nucleotides) under uncultured bacterium. RNAcentral describes it as "partial 16S ribosomal RNA". It matches the Rfam family "Bacterial small subunit ribosomal RNA", at positions 29 to 507 of the family's 1533-position model. The record is from RNAcentral.